UCUAGCGACCUCCACGUACACGGUGGAUGCCUAGGCAAUCAGAGGCGAAGAAGGACGUGUUAAUCUGCGAAAAGCAACGGUAAGUCGAUAAAAGGCGCUAUAACCGUUGAUGUCCGAAUGGGGAAACCCAGUGCAGGCGACUGCACUAUCAUCUGAUGAAUACAUAGUCAGAUGAGGCGAACCGGGAGAACUGAAACAUCUAAGUACCCCGAGGAAAAGAAAUCAACCGAGAUUCCCUAAGUAGCGGCGAGCGAAAGGGGAGGAGCCCAAGCGGGUAGCAUAAUGUAUUAGUGGAAGCGUCUGGAAAGUCGCACGAUAGAGGGUGAAAGUCCCGUACACGAAGAUGCAUUAUGUGGAAGCUUAUAGAGUAGGGCGGGACACGUGAUAUCCUGUCUGAAGAUGGGGGGACCAUCCUCCAAGGCUAAAUACUCCUGAUUGACCGAUAGUGAACCAGUACCGUGAGGGAAAGGCGAAAAGAACCCCGGGAGGGGAGUGAAAUAGACCCUGAAACCGUGUACGUACAAUCAGUGGGAGCUGUUACCGUUGGGUAAUAGUGACUGCGUACCUUUUGUAUAAUGGGUCAGCGACUUAUAUUCUGUAGCAAGGUUAACCGAAUAGGGGAGCCGAAGGGAAACCGAGUAUUAACUGUGCGUUAAGUUGCAGGGUAUAGACCCGAAACCCGGUGAUCUAGCCAUGGGCAGGUUGAAGGUUGGUUAACACUAACUGGAGGACCGAACCGACUAAUGUUGAAAAAUUAGCGGAUGACCUGUGGCUGGGGGUGAAAGGCCAAUCAAACCGGGAGAUAGCUGGUUCUCCCCGAAAGCUAUUUAGGUAGCGCCUCAUGAGUAACUGUUGGGGGUAGAGCACUGUUUCGGCUAGGGGGCCAUCCCGGCUUACCAACCCGAUGCAAACUGCGAAUACUGACAAGUUUAAUCAUGGGAGACACACGGCGGGUGCUAACGUUCGUCGUGAAGAGGGAAACAACCCAGACCGCCAGCUAAGGUCCCAAAGUCAUAGUUAAGUGGGAAACGAAGUGGGAAGGCUUAGACAGCUAGGAUGUUGGCUUAGAAGCAGCCAUCAUUUAAAGAAAGCGUAAUAGCUCACUAGUCGAGUCGGCCUGCGCGGAAGAUGUAACGGGGCUAAAACUAUGCACCGAAGCUGCGGCAGCGCACGAAAGUGUGUUGGGUAGGGGAGCGUUCUGUAAGCCGUUGAAGGUGCAUUGUGAGGUGUGCUGGAGGUAUCAGAAGUGCGAAUGCUGACAUAAGUAACGAUAAAGCGGGUGAAAAGCCCGCUCGCCGGAAGACCAAGGGUUCCUGUCCAACGUUAAUCGGGGCAGGGUGAGUCGACCCCUAAGGAGAGGCCGAAGGGCGUAUCUGAUGGGAAACGGGUUAAUAUUCCCGUACUGGCUAUAACUGCGAUGGGGGGACGAAGAAGGCUAGGUUUACCACCUAUUGGAUGGUGGGUUAAACGUGUAGGGGUGUGAUUAGGCAAAUCCGGUCACUAAGACUCUGAGGCGUGACGACGAGGCACUAAGGUGCUGAAGUAAUUGAUGCCCUGCUUCCAGGAAAAUCCUCUAAGCUUCAGGUUAUAGUUAAUCGUACCCGAAACCGACACAGGUGGUCAGGUAGAGNAUACUAAGGCGCUUGAGAGAACUCNGGNGAAGGAACUAGGCAAAAUGGUGCCGUAACUUCGGGAGAAGGCACGCUGAUGGUAAUUGAANUCCCAUGCGGAUGGAGGUGAAAUCAGUCGAAGAUACCAGCUGGCUGCAACUGUUUAAUAAAAACACAGCACUGUGCAAACACGAAAGUGGACGUAUACGGUGUGACGCCUGCCCGGUGCUGGAAGGUUAAUUGAUGGGGUUAUGCGNAAGCAGAAGCUCUUGAUCGAAGCCCCAGUAAACGGCGGCCGUAACUAUAACGGUCCUAAGGUAGCGAAAUUCCUUGUCGGGUAAGUUCCGACCUGCACGAAUGGCGUAAUGAUGGCCAGGCUG
RNAcentral lists this ribosomal RNA (1990 nucleotides) under insect metagenome. Its description in RNAcentral is "bacterial LSU rRNA". It matches the Rfam family "Bacterial large subunit ribosomal RNA", at positions 1 to 2018 of the family's 2925-position model. The record is from RNAcentral.